This 1596-nucleotide ribosomal RNA is filed under the name uncultured bacterium. Its description in RNAcentral is "bacterial SSU rRNA". It matches the Rfam family "Bacterial small subunit ribosomal RNA". The record is from RNAcentral.
AGAGUUUGAUCCUGGCUCAGCCUGAACGCUGGCGGCGUGGCUAAGACAUGCAAGUCGCACGGAGGUAGCAAUACCUCAGUGGCGAACGGGUGAGUAAUGAAUCGCUAAUGUGCCCCGGACUCUGAGAUAGCUGCCCGAAAGGGCAGGUAAUAUCAGAUGAUAUAACUUGAUCGCAUGAUCGAGUUCUCAAAGGUCCGCCGGUCUGGGAGCAGGCGAUUUUGUAUCAGCUAGUUGGUGAGGUAACGGCUCACCAAGGCGACGACGCAUAGCCGGACUGAGAGGUUGGCCGGCCACAUUGGGACUGAGACACUGCCCAGACUCCUACGGGGGGGCUGCAGUAACGAAUCUUCCCGCAAUGGUACGAAAGUAUGACGGAGCGACGCCCGCGUGCCAGGACGAAGCCCUUCGGGGGUGGUAAACUGCUGGUCAGGGGUUAGAAAAGUUUCUGAAUCAACCCCAGAAGAAGGCACGGCUAAACUCCUGUGGCCAGGCAGCCCGCCGGUAAAGACAGAAGGUUGCCAAAGCCGUUAGGGCGGAAUCACUGGGCUUAAAGCGGUGGUGGUAGGGCGGGACAUUUCUAAGUACCCUUGGUGGAAAUCCCCACGGUCUUUAAACCGUGCGAUCUUGCGUUUGAUAUACAGUGUUGUCGUUGCGGGCAUUCUACGAGGCUACUGGGAACAAAACAGGUGGGAGCGGGUGAAAAUGCGUUAGAUAUCGUUUGCGACCGCCAUUGGGUGAAAAACAAGUAGCUGAGGGGAUGUGCCCGACGCCUGACAACACGAACACCCAGGUGCAGCCGAACCGGGAUUUAGAUACCCCCGUUACUCCUCUGCCUGUAAACGAUUGUCGACUUAGAUCGUUAGUGUCUCUGACGCCUUUACCGGUUCGAAAGCAAAAAGUGUUAAGUCGACCCGCCCUGGAAAAGUUACAGGUCCCCCAAGCUCUAAAAACUCAAAAGGAAAUUGACCGGGGGGCUUCACCACAAAGCGGUGGACGCCAUUGUGGUUCAAAUUUCGGAAGCAACCGCCGCAGAAACUUUCACCUGGGCCCUGACCAUGCCUAGGGAAUUAUCCCCUGUGGAAAGGCAAGGGUAGGCCCCUCUCCGGGGGUACCAACUUAGUACACAGGUGCUGCCAUGGCUGGUCGUCCAGCUUCGUGGUCGUGAGAGAUGUUCGGGUUUAAGUCCCCUUAACGAGCCGAAACCUUUGCCCUUAGUUACCCAGCGAGUAAAGUCGCGGGACUCUAAGGGGACUGCCGGUGUCAAACCCGGAGGAAGGUGGAGAUGACGUCAAGUCCUCAUGGCCUUUAUGCCCAGGGCCACACACGUGCUACAAUGGGGUGCACAAAGCGAACCGAGACCGCAAGGUGGAGGAAAUCGCACAAAUCACCCCCCAGUUCAGAUCGGAGGCUGCAACUCGCCUCCGUGAAGUUGGAAUCGCUAGUAAUCGCGGAUCAGCUACGCCGCGGUGAAUGUGUUCCUGAGCCUUGUACACACCGCCCGUCAAGUCAUGGGAGCCGGAAAUAGCCGAAGUUGCCUCACCACUGAGGUGCCUACGCUAGGUUCGGUGACUGGGACUAAGUCGUAACAAGGUAACC